RNAcentral lists this ribosomal RNA (1289 nucleotides) under Zizania latifolia. RNAcentral describes it as "SSU rRNA". It matches the Rfam family "Eukaryotic small subunit ribosomal RNA", at positions 3 to 1058 of the family's 1831-position model. Lineage: Eukaryota; Viridiplantae; Streptophyta; Magnoliopsida; Poales; Poaceae. The record is from RNAcentral.
CCUGGUUGAUCCUGCCAGUAGUCAUAUGCUUGUCUCAAAGAUUAAGCCAUGCAUGUCUAAGUACAUACUGUUUAUAAAGUGAAACCGCGAAUGGCUCAUUAAAUCAGUUACGGUUCCUCGGAUAUUCUUUUUUACAUGGAUAACUGUGGUAAUUCUAGAGCUAAUACAUGAACAAGUGUUCCAACCACGGCUUGCCGUUGGAAGGAUCGCAUUUAUUAGUACAAGACCAAUGACUCUUAUUCACCUGGAACCCUGUUCAGUGAUUUCGGUCGCUGUCUAAGGACCAGCAGUGGGGGUCUAAGCACUUUCGAGUGCAUUUCUUGUGAUGACUCUGAAUAACUGAGCAAAUCGUAUGGCCUCUGAGCCGACGAUGUAUCCCUCAAGCAACUGCCUUAUCAACUGUCGAUGGUAGGUUAUGCGCCUACCAUGGUUGUAACGGGUAACGGGGAAUUAGGGUUCGAUUCCGGAGAGGGAGCCUGAGAAACGGCUACCACAUCCAAGGAAGGCAGCAGGCGCGCAAAUUACACAAUCCCAGUACGGGGAUGUAGUGACGAAAAAUAACAAUACGGGACUCUAUUGAGGCCCCGUAAUUGGAAUGAGUACAAUUUAAAUCCUUUAACGAGGAUCUAUUGGAGGGCAAGUCUGGUGCCAGCAGCCGCGGUAAUUCCAGCUCCAAUAGCGUAUAUUAAAGUUGCUGCGGUUAAAAAGCUCGUAGUUGGAUUUCAGUCAAACCUAUGGGGUCCACUGAUUAAAGGGUUAGAUGGUAAUGUUAGGUUUCUUGCUUGUGACUACGGUUACUUGCUUGAAUCUUUCUUCCUCUUUCCUGGUGGUUACAUUCAUAGUGUUUAGACAGAAAAUUGCUCGAUAUUUGCUAUCAAUGCUCUUUACCGAGUGUUGAUUCAAGCGAUCGAGACUUUUACCUUGAAAAAAUCAGAGUGCUCAAAGCAGGCGUCCAAAACCUUGAAAGAGGUGCCUAAAAACGGUAUGGUCAACCAUCUAUAUGAUGUGUACCAUUUACCUUAACUUGAAUGAUCUUGCAUGGAAUAAUGGAAUAGGACCUUGGUUCUAUUUUGUUGGUCUUAAGAAUCCAAGGUAAUGAUUAAGAGGGACAGACGGGGGCAUUUGUAUUGCGGCGCUAGAGGUGAAAUUCUUGGACCGUCGCAAGACAAACUACAGCGAAAGCAUUUGCCAAGAAUGUUUUCAUUAAUCAAGAACGAAAGUUAGAGGUUCGAAGGCGAUCAGAUACCGCCCUAGUUCUAACCAUAAACGAUGCCAACCAGCGAUCAUUC